ACUGUUAUUAUUUAUUUUAAUUACAUUGACAUUGGUUUACUACUGAGUAAUGCUGGUCAUUAUGAAGAAAGUCAGGCAUAUCUGGAAAGUGCUCUUAGAUUACAAAACAAGUUUCAUGGAAGUCAAUCAAUUACUAUAGCCACAAUGUUAGUAAUGACAAGUCAUCAUCUUCUUGCCAACUCAUUGACUCACAUUGGAGCAUUUGCUGAAGCUAAGCAAAAUGAGAGAAAAGCAUGCAAUAUCUAUAGG
This is a long non-coding RNA of Amphimedon queenslandica, 249 nucleotides long. RefSeq lists it as uncharacterized. The record is from RefSeq and is a predicted model, not a curated record. NCBI's taxonomy places the organism in Eukaryota, Metazoa, Porifera, Demospongiae, Haplosclerida, Niphatidae. The transcript has 3 exons.